ACAGUGUCUGAGGUGUGGUGAGCCACGCUGGGGGAAACUUGAUGCGUUUUGCAUAUUGACAAUAGACACAUGGCUUCCAGAGCAGUAUGAGGAAGUGGUGCAAGCCGCAGGGAGGGGCGGGUCAGCGGGCACAGUCGGGUAUAAGGUUGGCACAGGUGGGUCUGUAAGUUGUACUUGAAGUCGUCCGUCAGAAUGGCCUCUUCAGCUCUGCUCUCGUCUCUCCUGCUGCUCUCUCUCUCAGGGUUCCUCGCUCAAACUACAGGUCAGCUGUCCUUCCUCCUGGAGGUGAAAUACAACCAACCGGACAGAAACAGUCACGUGUUCUCUGCCCAAACUCCCUUCAGAGGGGUUCUGUUUGGGGCCAUGACCAGGCUGAACAACUCUAGCCCAGACUUCAACUUCACCUCCUCAACGAACGUCGACUACGGAGAGUUCCUGGUGAGCGUCAACGGUUUGUUUGGGAAUGACCAAGACCGGACAUACUGGGAGCUGCUGGUUCAGAAAGACACCAACACCAUUAUCAGACCUGAUGUUGGGAUCAGCUGUUACAUUCCUCAGGCCAAGGAGAAGGUGAUCCUGAACUACACCACUUAUUAGACAGAGGUCCCUUCUUUGGAUCGCUCUCACUUGGAGAGUAUGGACCUUAUGCCCCUGACGGCCAUCUUGGUUCUAACCUCAGCAGUAUUUAUGCUCCUGUUUGGAACCAAGAUGGCAGCUUUGUAUAUAAGGCCCAGGCUUUGGAACCCGGACGAUUCACAUCUCAACCUGGCCUUGCUCUUUUUUUUGUUCCGUAAUAACUUUGCAAUUAAAUACUUCUAGUGUAUAAACCUCAACCUGCCUCUGGUCUACAUCCGGACUUUGAACAAUUAUAACAUGAUCAAAUAAUAUAACAAAUACAUUUAUAAAACUUAAUGUCAAAAUCCGUGGUGGUACAAUACAUUUAUUGUAACAUGAAUAAAAACACAUCAAACAGUAUUACUAACAGAAAACUAACAGAAAUCAAUUACAUUUACGGCAUUUAGCAGACGCUUUUAUCCAAAGCGACUUCGAUUGGUUAAUACACACAUUGACACACCGACGGCAGGAGCAGUUAGGGUUAAGCAUUUCUUGCUCAAGGGCACAAUAACCCUCAGCUAGGGGGAGCUGGAGAUCGAACUAGCAACCUUAAGGUUACAAGACAACUGCUGUACAGCCUGAGCUAAGGCAACCUCUUAAAGAGUCCUAGACUAAGUGAUACUUGUUAUUAGAUAAUAAGCAAAUUAUUACUCAUUGAAGUUAUACCAACACACAACAGUACUCUCCUGCUGCAUCAUAGUGUUUCAACACACCACCAAUAGAUGACAUCACCGAGCCGCACAGCAGGAAGCUACAUUGAGGUAGCAUUGAUACCUCGAAGGGGAUAGAAUGCUGUUCCAGUCACCUUGAAGACGUGUGAUUCAAGCAUGGAGCCCUGAGGUUCCCCACAUCUUCUCAAUCUCAUGUUCUGUGGAGGGAUGAGACGCCGAAAGCCCCCCACAGGGUGGACUGGAGAUCAUUUAAUUUCAAUAAUACUUUUUAAUUAAUUAAUUUUAUGACCAAAUUUAUGUAUUUCAUCCUUCAUACUCGAAAUUUCGAUUCUUCUAUUCGUCUUGUGCAUUUGUUAUAAUUGACAAUAAAGCUGACUUUGACUUUGACUUUGACUUGGACAACGGCCUU
This 1695-nucleotide long non-coding RNA is filed under the name Gadus morhua (Atlantic cod). RNAcentral's name for it is "lncRNA (ENSGMOG00000032305.1)". Lineage: Eukaryota; Metazoa; Chordata; Actinopteri; Gadiformes; Gadidae. The record is from RNAcentral.